CCUACGGGAGGCAGCAGUGAGGAAUAUUGGUCAAUGGACGAGAGUCUGAACCAGCCAAGUAGCGUGAAGGAUGACUGCCCUAUGGGUUGUAAACUCCUUUUAUAUGGGAAUAAAAUGUUCCACGUGUGGGAUUUUGUAUGUAUCAUAUGAAUAAGGCUCGGCAACUCCGUGCCAGCAGCCGCGGUAAUACGGAGGUUCCGAGCGUUAUCCGGAUUUAUUGGGUUUAAAGGGGGCGUAGAUGGGUUGUUAAGUCAGUUGUGAAAGUUUGCGGCUCAACCGUAAAAUUGCAAUUGAUACUGGCAGUCUGGAGUGCAGUUGAGGUAGGCGGAAUUCGUGGUGUAGCGGUGAAAUGCUUAGAUAUCACGAAGAACUCCGAUGGCGAAGGCAGCUUGCUAAACUGCCACUGACAUUGAGGCUCGAAAGUGUGGGGAUCAAACAGGAUUAGAUACCCGGGUAGUC
RNAcentral lists this ribosomal RNA (459 nucleotides) under uncultured bacterium. RNAcentral describes it as "partial 16S ribosomal RNA". It matches the Rfam family "Bacterial small subunit ribosomal RNA", at positions 338 to 795 of the family's 1533-position model. The record is from RNAcentral.